RNAcentral lists this ribosomal RNA (465 nucleotides) under Vreelandella stevensii. RNAcentral describes it as "partial 16S ribosomal RNA". It matches the Rfam family "Bacterial small subunit ribosomal RNA", at positions 338 to 795 of the family's 1533-position model. The record is from RNAcentral. Lineage: Bacteria; Pseudomonadati; Pseudomonadota; Gammaproteobacteria; Oceanospirillales; Halomonadaceae.
CCUACGGGUGGCAGCAGUGGGGAAUAUUGGACAAUGGGGGGAACCCUGAUCCAGCCAUGCCGCGUGUGUGAAGAAGGCCCUCGGGUUGUAAAGCACUUUCAGUGAGGAAGAACGCCUGGUGGUUAAUACCCAUCAGGAAAGACAUCACUCACAGAAGAAGCACCGGCUAACUCCGUGCCAGCAGCCGCGGCAAUACGGAGGGUGCGAGCGUUAAUCGGAAUUACUGGGCGUAAAGCGCGCGUAGGUGGCUUGAUAAGCCGGUUGUGAAAGCCCCGGGCUCAACCUGGGAACGGCAUCCGGAACUGUCAAGCUAGAGUGCAGGAGAGGAAGGUAGAAUUCCCGGUGUAGCGGUGAAAUGCGUAGAGAUCGGGAGGAAUACCAGUGGCGAAGGCGGCCUUCUGGACUGACACUGACACUGAGGUGCGAAAGCGUGGGUAGCAAACAGGAUUAGAUACCCGAGUAGUC